AAAGGCUGGUAGGAGUGGUCAGAGAUUGCUUGCGUCCACUUUGUGGUUCCCAGAAUACGGGCUCCAUACCGCGGGUCGUGUUCGCAAAGACACGACCUGCACACCGCACCCGACACUGCUCGGGGCGGACAACUGAACACACGCAUGACGUGUGACCCAGAUUUGACCACCACCACGCCUUCGGCUGGUGGGUGUGUCUGAGAGGGUUACGGCGGCCAUAGCGAGAGGGAAACGCCCGGUCACAUUCCGAACCCGGAAGCUAAGACUCUCAGCGCCGAUGGUACUGCAGGGGGGACCCUGUGGGAGAGUAGGACACCGCCGGAC
RNAcentral lists this ribosomal RNA (324 nucleotides) under Rathayibacter sp. PhB185. RNAcentral also lists the same sequence under 1 other name. Lineage: Bacteria; Bacillati; Actinomycetota; Actinomycetes; Micrococcales; Microbacteriaceae. The record is from RNAcentral.